GGGUGAGUAACGCGUGGGAAUCUACCGUGCCCUGCGGAAUAGCUCCGGGAAACUGGAAUUAAUACCGCAUACGCCCUACGGGGGAAAGAUUUAUCGGGGUAUGAUGAGCCCGCGUUGGAUUAGCUAGUUGGUGGGGUAAAGGCCUACCAAGGCGACGAUCCAUAGCUGGUCUGAGAGGAUGAUCAGCCACAUUGGGACUGAGACACGGCCCAAACUCCUACGGGAGGCAGCAGUGGGGAAUAUUGGACAAUGGGCGCAAGCCUGAUCCAGCCAUGCCGCGUGAGUGAUGAAGGCCUUAGGGUUGUAAAGCUCUUUCACCGGAGAAGAUAAUGACGGUAUCCGGAGAAGAAGCCCCGGCUAACUUCGUGCCAGCAGCCGCCGGUAA
Molecule: ribosomal RNA, 385 nt
Filed under: Rhizobiaceae bacterium
Lineage: Bacteria; Pseudomonadati; Pseudomonadota; Alphaproteobacteria; Hyphomicrobiales; Rhizobiaceae
Description: bacterial SSU rRNA
Rfam family: Bacterial small subunit ribosomal RNA
Source: RNAcentral